Molecule: ribosomal RNA, 187 nt
Filed under: uncultured bacterium
Lineage: Bacteria
Description: partial 16S ribosomal RNA
Rfam family: Bacterial small subunit ribosomal RNA
Source: RNAcentral
UGCAACUCGACUCCAUGAAGCUGGAUUCGCUAGUAAUCGCGCAUCAGCCAUGGCGCGGUGAAUACGUUCCCGGGCCUUGUACACACCGCCCGUCAAGCCAUGGAAGCCGGGAGUGCCUGAAGUGUGCAACCGCAAGGAGCGCCCUAAGGUAAAACUGGUGACUGGGGCUAAGUCGUAACAAGGUACC